CGCGGGGUGGAGCAGUCUGGUAGCUCGUCGGGCUCAUAACCCGAAGGUUGCAGGUUCAAAUCCUGCCCCCGCAACCA
RNAcentral lists this transfer RNA (77 nucleotides) under Bacillota bacterium. RNAcentral describes it as "Firmicutes bacterium (anaerobic digester metagenome) tRNA-Met". It matches the Rfam family "tRNA". From Rfam's summary of the family: Transfer RNA (tRNA) molecules are approximately 80 nucleotides in length. The record is from RNAcentral. Lineage: Bacteria; Bacillati; Bacillota. RNAcentral also lists the same sequence under 3 other names.